Molecule: long non-coding RNA, 673 nt
Filed under: Canis lupus familiaris (dog)
Lineage: Eukaryota; Metazoa; Chordata; Mammalia; Carnivora; Canidae
Description: lncRNA (ENSCAFG00845012270.1)
Source: RNAcentral
AGUACUGGCACUAGAAAGCAGUCAUGUGCUGCAAGGUCCCUAGGAAAUACAUGAUGGGAGGAAGAAGUAUAUAUGUUCAGAGCUAUGGACUGGCCCUGAGACUAGUCUUGGAUCAGUUCUGGGAAGGGGAGAAUAACUAUGAAACCCUCAUCUGACCACCUGCUUUCUUCUAUCUAGGGUGCUCAUCUUCUGCCACCAAGCAUGACAUUUGGAAAGAAUAUGUUUGAAGGCUACAAAUCUGCUGAAUCAGCAAAGGGGGAUCACUGAGGUGACCCUCACUAAAGCGGAUAACCCUGCCACUUACCAUUUGUUGUCUUUACAUCUGUCACUGCCAUGUGACAUUGAGGAGACUGGGAAAGAGCAAUGUUAUUAUAUGUCCCAAGACCAAGGUGUACAUGUGACCAUUCCCCUGAUGAUGGGCAUUUUGGUGAGUCGCGAUAUUUUUACUAAUAUGAACAGGGCUGUAGUGAGCAGACUUAUAAAAGUCCCUUUUCACACAUGUGUAAUUAUCUCUCUAGGAUACCUUGAAGAAGAAUCACUGAGUUUAAGAUUAUCUGCAUUUUACAUUUUAAUACAUACUAUCAAAAUGUCUAUUGGAAAGGCUGUACAAAUAUACUUUCACAGUAACAGUAUAGAAUACCAUAUCCUAUUUGUUGGCCACAUUCACAUUUAA